AACCUUGAGAUCACGCCCACAAAUAAGAGAGAUAAUAUGAGGUUGCGUAUUCAUUACUAUCAAUUGGUUUGCGCUAUUUUUUACAUUCUAGUAUUGAACUAAACAAAUAGCACAUCACAUAAUAUGUGAUCUUAUUUAACUAAUGCAUUGUUUAAUUUAGUGACCUCUACACAAAUACGGUUAAGAUGUGUGUUUACUGGUUUGUAGUUCCCUAAACAUAAAUGUAUAACACUUAAACACUUUAAGUUUCCAAUUCUUAGUAGAAAUCUUGUGAGUAAGAGUGCA
Cinara cedri is the source of this 285-nucleotide non-coding RNA. NCBI's taxonomy places the organism in Eukaryota, Metazoa, Arthropoda, Insecta, Hemiptera, Aphididae. The record is from the annotation of a GenBank genome assembly.